UACGGGGGGGGCAAGCGUUGUUCGGAAUUACUGGGCGUAAAGGGCUCGUAGGCGGCCAACUAAGUCAGACGUGAAAUCCCUCGGCUUAACCGGGGAACUGCGUCUGAUACUGGUUGGCUUGAAUCCGGGAGAGGGAUGUGGAAUUCCAGGUGUAGCGGUGAAAUGCGUAGAUAUCUGGAGGAACACCGGUGGCGAAGGCGGCAUCCUGGACCGGUAUGGACGCUGAGACGCGAAAGCGUGGGGAGCAAACAGG
RNAcentral lists this ribosomal RNA (253 nucleotides) under uncultured bacterium. RNAcentral's name for it is "partial 16S ribosomal RNA". It matches the Rfam family "Bacterial small subunit ribosomal RNA", at positions 524 to 776 of the family's 1533-position model. The record is from RNAcentral.